UACUUCUUCAAAAAGUCUGGUUUUUGCAAGGGACAGUAGUAGGCAGUAGAAAACAGAAAUUGAUUGGCUCGUCACUGUUGCUCUACUUCCAUUUCAGGUCCAAGGAGAAAACUGUUCCACAGAGAGUUGCAAAGGGGCCAGACGCAAAUCAAGAAGGAAGAUGUUAAACUUUUGUGAUUACGACGAUUUAAACGAAAGAUGACAGAACGUGGGGGAGGGGGUAACACCGAAGUACGCAAGUGAAGCUUCAGGGAAAAGGUCCACUCCCCGAAGCAAAGGAGGGAGUGGAGAACGAACCGGUCUGGCCAAGCGACAAACCCUGAAUGCUGACCGAGCCAGGAGGGGCAGGGCCGCGGAGCCCGCGAAGUGAGACCUCGGGCAAACUGCAGGGGUGCAGCAAGGGGCAGUACGGCGGAGGAGCAGCGCUGCCACAGAGCAGAGUGUAAGGGGACACCGGAAGGGACGGUGAGUUGGGAGGCACCGACAGCAGGCGGGAGUCCAGCGCAAGGAGCGACUGGCGAGUGGCAACUGCAAAAGGCGAGGCACCGGAGCCGGAGGCGGUGGGACUCUGUUGAGUCAGCACAGCUCCUACUCUGGGGGCACUUGUAGGAUCCCCGCAGCUCCUCCAGCCCAGAAACCCGAGGCGGAGGGUCGAGCCCACCGGCCAGAGAUGGUGGUCUCUGACGGGCUGGCGCCGGCCCCCUUCCCAUUUCACAGAGUGGAAAAUGAAACUCAGACUCGAUUAAUGAGAGCAACUGUGACGGCAAGUGACCUAUGCAGAGAUACAUCAAUCUCUUUGACGAAAAGAUGCUCAGGAAAACUAUUUUUCCUGGAAUUGAAAAACUGGAUCUGCUGGCAGGCAGCUCCUAAACUGAAGGUACUUAAGACCCAGGACACAAAGAGCCUGCAGCACAGGAGAAUGAGACCCAAAAGCUGUGCCAAGUCCAGCUGA
Molecule: long non-coding RNA, 952 nt
Filed under: Fukomys damarensis (Damara mole-rat)
Lineage: Eukaryota; Metazoa; Chordata; Mammalia; Rodentia; Bathyergidae
Description: lncRNA (ENSFDAG00000026237.1)
Source: RNAcentral